This 447-nucleotide ribosomal RNA is filed under the name uncultured delta proteobacterium. Its description in RNAcentral is "bacterial SSU rRNA". It matches the Rfam family "Bacterial small subunit ribosomal RNA", at positions 936 to 1382 of the family's 1533-position model. The record is from RNAcentral. Lineage: Bacteria; Deltaproteobacteria.
AGCAUGUGGUUUAAUUCGACGCAACGCGAAGAACCUUACCUGGGCUAGACAACGGUGGACCUCCCCAGAGAUGGGGAUUUCCCUUCGGGGACUGCCGGAUCAGGUGCUGCAUGGCUGUCGUCAGCUCGUGUCGUGAGAUGUUGGGUUAAGUCCCGCAACGAGCGCAACCCCCGCCUUUAGUUGCUACCAUUCAGUUGAGCACUCUAAAGGGACCGCCGGCGUUAAGCCGGAGGAAGGUGGGGAUGACGUCAAGUCCUCAUGGCCCUUAUGUCCAGGGCUACACACGUGCUACAAUGGGCGGUACAGAGGGUUGCCAACCCGCGAGGGGGAGCCAAUCCCAGAAAGCCGUCCUCAGUUCAGAUUGCAGGCUGCAACUCGCCUGCAUGAAGCUGGAGUUGCUAGUAAACGCGCGUCAGCUAUAGUGCGUUGAAUACGUUCUCGGGCCUU